GUGUGAAGUAGGUACUAUUGUCAUUUUUACUUUAUAGACAAGAAAACUGAAGCAUGGAAAAGCAAUGAAUGAAAAUGUCGCUCCAUGUUUUCACCAGCAUUCGCUGCUGUCAGUUAGGAUUUUUCAUCAUCCUAAAAGACUUUUAGCUUGACCAUGAUGUCUUCAUUCUGAAGGAUCAGUCUCACCUUUUCCUGAACAAAUACUAAAAUAGUAGCCUUAAGCUUAAGGAAGCUGGUUCAGGAAGCUGUGUUCCAUGAGACAUGAUACUCUGAGAAGAUUAAAAUGGAGGGAACCUUGGCCUAUGGAUCUUGCAUCUAAUUUCUAGAAUCUCCAGCCUGGCCUUAGUCCAUUGACAUAUCAAUAGGUGUGUAAUGCAGCAGCCUCCCACAGCCUCUAGGCCAAGGGGUGGAGAGAGGAUGGCUGUUCUCUC
Long non-coding RNA from Manis pentadactyla (Chinese pangolin), 430 nucleotides. RefSeq lists it as uncharacterized. NCBI's taxonomy places the organism in Eukaryota, Metazoa, Chordata, Mammalia, Pholidota, Manidae. The transcript is spliced from 5 exons. The record is from RefSeq and is a predicted model, not a curated record.